CUGGAUAUUCAUUUGGAAGCACCGAAUUGAAUGUUUAAGAUGGCAAACACAAAGCACUUGUAUGCAUGGCUUGUUCUGUUAUUAUUCUUAUUAUUAUUACUUAUUCCGAACAAGUGUGAAAGUCGUGCACUGCCACAGGUGGAGAGGAAUAAGAAGAACACAUCAAAGGGGUUCAUGGAAUUCAUGAAGAAAUCGCAGCAACUGAGAGAGAGUUUAGUGAAACAAAGCCUCAUCAAAUUUCCAAACAACUUCGACAUUGAUAGACUUAGUCCUGGAGGUCCUGACCCUAGGCACCAUUGACUCUCAUCUCAACCUCAUCUUUCUUUUUGUCUUUUGCUGUAUUAAAUCUUUUUUUAAUUAAUUACAAAUGUUUCAGGUUUUGGUUUUACACUUCUACUAAUAAUACUCUAUAUGCAAUUUUUUUUUUUGUUUUUUUGUUUUUUGCUAGUUUUUGUCCUCUUAAUCAAGAAUUUGAUAAAAAAUAUAUGGU
RNAcentral lists this long non-coding RNA (490 nucleotides) under Arachis ipaensis. RNAcentral's name for it is "long non-coding RNA (AIPA_LNC001896)". Lineage: Eukaryota; Viridiplantae; Streptophyta; Magnoliopsida; Fabales; Fabaceae. The record is from RNAcentral.